UAGCCUAGUGGUAAGGGCUAUAGAUCGCCAAUCUGAAGACGGCGGGUUCGAUUCCCGU
Aedes albopictus (Asian tiger mosquito) is the source of this 58-nucleotide non-coding RNA. The record is from Rfam. NCBI's taxonomy places the organism in Eukaryota, Metazoa, Arthropoda, Insecta, Diptera, Culicidae.